Long non-coding RNA from Glossina fuscipes, 345 nucleotides. RefSeq lists it as uncharacterized. The record is from RefSeq and is a predicted model, not a curated record. The transcript is spliced from 2 exons. NCBI's taxonomy places the organism in Eukaryota, Metazoa, Arthropoda, Insecta, Diptera, Glossinidae.
GCCAACGAAAGCGAUAAGAAAUCGAUGCGUAACUGGCAUAUAUUAGAAUCACAAGGUUGAACCACUAUAGUGCAUUUACCGCCACCACUUCGAACAACUACCAGCUAAAAUGCCGCCAUUAUCUGUACACUCUCCUCUAACCAUGCAUGUGCCCUGUUGAUUGUUGCUGGCCACGCAAUUGUCAUUACGAAAACGACCAAUCGUAUAAAAAGGAAACCCUAGAGGGACAUAAGGACUCUUAAAUUCUUCUUAUCACAAAUACAAAUGAGUCAAUAACGACUAUCGAUUAACAAUAACCGAACGGGAAGGGCAAAUAAGUUGGUAACAAAAAAAAAAAAAAAAAAA